Molecule: ribosomal RNA, 253 nt
Filed under: uncultured bacterium
Lineage: Bacteria
Description: partial 16S ribosomal RNA
Rfam family: Bacterial small subunit ribosomal RNA
Source: RNAcentral
UACAGAGACUGCAAGCGUUAUUCGGAUUCACUGGGCGUAAAGGGUGCGCAGGCGGCCAAGUGUGUUAGGCGUGAAAGCCUGGGGCUUAACUCCAGAAUUGCACCUAAAACUACAUGGCUAGAGCAUUGGAGAGGGUAGCGGAAUUCACGGUGUAGCAGUGAAAUGCGUAGAUAUCGUGAGGAACACCAGAGGCGAAGGCGGCUACCUGGACAAUUGCUGACGCUCAGGCACGAAAGCGUGGGGAGCAAAAGGG